Molecule: ribosomal RNA, 547 nt
Filed under: uncultured archaeon
Lineage: Archaea
Description: bacterial SSU rRNA
Rfam family: Archaeal small subunit ribosomal RNA
Source: RNAcentral
CGGGGUGCAGCAGGCGCGAAAACUUUACAAUGCUGGCAACAGCGAUAAGGGGACCUCGAGUGCCAGGAUACAAUCUUGGCUGUCGUGAUGCCUAAAAAGCAUUGCAUAGCAAGGGCCGGGCAAGACCGGUGCCAGCCGCCGCGGUAACACCGGCGGCUCGAGUGGUAACCGCUAUUAUUGGGUCUAAAGGGUCUGUAGCCGGCCGGAUAAGUCUCUUGGGAAAUCCAGCAGCUCAACUGUUGGGCUUUCAGGAGAUACUGUUCGGCUCGAGACCGGGAGAGGUGAGAGGUACUUCAGGGGUAGGGGUGAAAUCUUGUAAUCCUUGAAGGACCACCAGUGGCGAAGGCGUCUCACCAGAACGGAUCUGACGGCAAGGGACGAAAGCUAGGGGCACGAACCGGAUUAGAUACCCGGGUAGUCCUAGCCGUAAACGAUACUCGCUAGGUGUCGGCCACGGUGCGACCGUGGUCGGUGCCGUAGGGAAGCCGUGAAGCGAGCCACCUGGGAAGUACGGCCGCAAGGCUGAAACUUAAAGGAAUUGGCGGGG